This 118-nucleotide ribosomal RNA is filed under the name Paenibacillus polymyxa. RNAcentral's name for it is "partial 16S ribosomal RNA". It matches the Rfam family "Bacterial small subunit ribosomal RNA", at positions 1427 to 1533 of the family's 1533-position model. Lineage: Bacteria; Bacillati; Bacillota; Bacilli; Caryophanales; Paenibacillaceae. The record is from RNAcentral.
UCGGGGGGGUAACCCGCAAGGGAGCCAGCCGCCGAAGGUGGGGUAGAUGAUUGGGGUGAAGUCGUAACAAGGUAGCCGUAUCGGAAGGUGCGGCUGGAUCACCUCCUUUCUAUGGAGA